GCCCAGUUAGCUCAGUCGGUAGAGCAUCAGGCUUUUAACCUGAGGGUCAAGGGUUCGAGUCCCUUAUGGGCG
This 72-nucleotide transfer RNA is filed under the name Gigantopelta aegis. RNAcentral describes it as "tRNA-Lys". It matches the Rfam family "tRNA". From Rfam's summary of the family: Transfer RNA (tRNA) molecules are approximately 80 nucleotides in length. Their secondary structure includes four short double-helical elements and three loops (D, anti-codon, and T loops). Lineage: Eukaryota; Metazoa; Mollusca; Gastropoda; Neomphalida; Peltospiridae. The record is from RNAcentral.